This 121-nucleotide ribosomal RNA is filed under the name Chaetosphaeridium globosum. The record is from RNAcentral. Lineage: Eukaryota; Viridiplantae; Streptophyta; Coleochaetophyceae; Coleochaetales; Chaetosphaeridiaceae.
AUAUUUACUUUUUUAGGAACAAGCAAAAACACCCGAAACCAUUCCGAACUCGAAAAGUGAAAACUUGUUCCACCAUAUGUACUAAUUUGUAAACUUUGGGAGACGUGGUUAAGGUAAUUAG